AUUACGUUUAGAUUCAGUCGCAAAGCUCGACGUGCACUCCGGCACGGCUAGAAGGUCUUUGUACGCCGACUCUUAAUGACUGAAGACUCAGUAAAAGUGCGUGCAGGGACGUGCCGAUCAUUUGAUAAUAUUACAGAUAGAUGGAUCGCAACUGAAAAAACAUUUCAAACUUGGAUAUCAAACCUCAGUUUGAUAAGAAGGCUCAGAGAAUAUGAGUGUUUAUCAAUUGGAAGAAGAAAUGAAGUCAAUCACUGACUAAGAAAUGUAAAAGAAUUCAAAAACAUCAUCUGACAAAGUUACAUAUGACGGAGUUAAUUUGCUUGUAUCAAAGCUUAAAAAGUUAGAAAAGAAACAUAUUUUAUCUAAAAUCACCGAAAAUAUUUGCAAAAGUUUGAUAAAAACCCUAAAAAUCGAAAAACACAUUAAAAUGUCCAUCAGAAGCUAAGAAAAACACACCUCGUCUACGUU
This is a long non-coding RNA of Stylophora pistillata, 468 nucleotides long. RefSeq lists it as uncharacterized. NCBI's taxonomy places the organism in Eukaryota, Metazoa, Cnidaria, Anthozoa, Scleractinia, Pocilloporidae. The record is from RefSeq and is a predicted model, not a curated record.